GAGCGGUAGAGAGAAGCUUGCUUCUCUUGAGAGCGGCGGACGGGUGAGUAAUGCCUAGGAAUCUGCCUGGUAGUGGGGGAUAACGUUCGGAAACGGACGCUAAUACCGCAUACGUCCUACGGGAGAAAGCAGGGGACCUUCGGGCCUUGCGCUAUCAGAUGAGCCUAGGUCGGAUUAGCUAGUUGGUGGGGUAAUGGCUCACCAAGGCGACGAUCCGUAACUGGUCUGAGAGGAUGAUCAGUCACACUGGAACUGAGACACGGUCCAGACUCCUACGGGAGGCAGCAGUGGGGAAUAUUGGACAAUGGGCGAAAGCCUGAUCCAGCCAUGCCGCGUGUGUGAAGAAGGUCUUCGGAUUGUAAAGCACUUUAAGUUGGGAGAAAGGGUUGUAGAUUAAUACUCUGCAAUUUUGACGUUACCGACAGAAUAAGCACCGGCUAACUCUGUG
RNAcentral lists this ribosomal RNA (448 nucleotides) under uncultured bacterium. RNAcentral describes it as "bacterial SSU rRNA". It matches the Rfam family "Bacterial small subunit ribosomal RNA", at positions 64 to 507 of the family's 1533-position model. The record is from RNAcentral.